Molecule: ribosomal RNA, 423 nt
Filed under: Triticum aestivum (bread wheat)
Lineage: Eukaryota; Viridiplantae; Streptophyta; Magnoliopsida; Poales; Poaceae
Description: partial small subunit ribosomal RNA
Source: RNAcentral
AUGGUGGAGGUUGAUUUCUGGAGCCCAGAUGAUAAAGCCAAGGGGAAGCUCCACUCAGUAUGGAUAAAGAUGUGGGGAGUGCCUCAUACUUUGAGGCUCUAUCUAGGAGUGUGUGAGAUUGGAUCUGCUUUAGGGCCAGUGGUGGAGGUUGAUGUGGAGCACAUACACUCCCAAGAAGAAAUCAGGGUGAAGGUGGGUGUGAGAGACAUGCACAAAAUUCUAGCAGGGACUAAGAUAACUACUAAGGACUUGUUGUUGUAUGACAUAAACUUUGAGUUUGAUUCAGUUGCUGAACAGGGGUGGUAUAAGUUUGACGAGGGAAAUAACAGAAAGAUAUUUGAAUAUCUGGAUCUUGAGAGUUUUGAGUCACAAAGAGAGAAUGACAUGCAAAAAAGAAGCAAACAAAUGGACACUGGAAAAUAG